AUGAUGCAUGUAAUGGCAGAGUUCUAUGGAUCUGAGAUGAUGGUGCCGUUCGGACCAAAGGCAAUAACAAACCUUUGUACAAGUUUCCGUAGAGAUGACACAAAGGAGGGUGAUCUGAUUGAGACAAUUGCGCACUUCAAGGAUAUACAAAAAACCGAUCCAGACUUCUUCUAUAAGGUGAAAUAUGAUGAAGAGGACAGAGUUGUCAACAUAUUUUGGGUGGACGGCUUAGCUCGAAAAGCUUAUGCAGAGGCGUACCACGAUUGCAUAUCGUUUGACACCACCUACAUGACCAACUUGUACAAUAUGUCAUUCGCGCCCUUCAUAGGAAUAAACCGACAUGGCCAAUCUUUCAUGCUGGGUUGCGCGUUUGUGAGGCAGGAGUUGGCAUCGAGCUUUGAUUGGGUCUUUGGAGCAUUCCUAGAGGCUAUGGAUGGCAAACCUCCUGACAACUUCAUCACCGAUCAGGAUGGUGCGAUGAGGCAGUCAAUAUAG
This 495-nucleotide ribosomal RNA is filed under the name Triticum aestivum (bread wheat). RNAcentral describes it as "partial small subunit ribosomal RNA". Lineage: Eukaryota; Viridiplantae; Streptophyta; Magnoliopsida; Poales; Poaceae. The record is from RNAcentral.